UCCCGUGUGGUCUAGUGGUUAUGAUGUCUGGUUUUCAAUUAAAUUCUUAUUAAAUCCCAGAAGAUCACGAGUUCGACCCUCGUCACGGGAA
Molecule: transfer RNA, 91 nt
Filed under: Cryptomonas curvata
Lineage: Eukaryota; Cryptophyceae; Cryptomonadales; Cryptomonadaceae
Description: tRNA-Glu
Rfam family: tRNA
About the family: Transfer RNA (tRNA) molecules are approximately 80 nucleotides in length. Their secondary structure includes four short double-helical elements and three loops (D, anti-codon, and T loops).
Source: RNAcentral